CUCCCCCAAACUUCAAGCGGGGAAAACUGACAAAUUUCAUCACACUGACGAGCCACAGCAACAGUAACAGGUGUUACAGCUCCUGCCUUAACUCCUCUCUACAGGAUUGUUUUGGAGGGUGAACAACAGAGAGGCCAGGUUGAAAGAAUCUGAAGUGGACCUGGGGUAAAAACAACGCUGCGGCUCUAUUGAAGAGGCUGACUCACUCUGAAACAGACUGACAGCCAGUGAUUGCCACUAUUUGCAGAAUACAUCUCAUCACUGACAACCAGGUCUCCUCACCUCUCAGUCUGUCCUCUUACCUGAUUAAGUUUGCCGGCUGCAUGCGCAUAGAGGACAGUCAGCUGGAGUUCAGAGAGUAUCAACCCCUUUGGACAAGGAUGGGACUUGAACUGAACUGAACGGAACUGAACUGAACUGAACUGGACCUGAGCUUGGAAACAAAGCAGGACUGACUGAUAUGGUUUUCCUGAAUUCUGCACUGCAUUUUACAGUCUCUGUCCCUGGGUCGAGCCCUACGCGCUUGUAGAGGGAUCUUUUGAACAAGCUCUGGUUGGCGUAAUAGAUCGGAGCCUCGUAUCUGAAAACAGCCACUCCUGGAUGCGUCUGAAGGCCGCGGUAAGAUGACAG
Long non-coding RNA from Seriola aureovittata, 630 nucleotides. RefSeq lists it as uncharacterized. NCBI's taxonomy places the organism in Eukaryota, Metazoa, Chordata, Actinopteri, Carangiformes, Carangidae. The transcript has 5 exons. The record is from RefSeq and is a predicted model, not a curated record.